UAACCAUGGUGGGGUAAAGGGCUUGUAAUUUUUUGUAUCUCUCACAUGCUUGGUAUAAGGUCUCACUAUCAUUUUAAGCAAAUGAAGAAAUUUUCCUUCUUCGGGA
This 106-nucleotide small nucleolar RNA is filed under the name Olea europaea subsp. europaea. RNAcentral's name for it is "Plant small nucleolar RNA R71". It matches the Rfam family "Plant small nucleolar RNA R71". Rfam says of the family: R71 is a member of the C/D box family of snoRNAs containing the C (UGAUGA) and D (CUGA) box motifs. The record is from Rfam by way of RNAcentral. Lineage: Eukaryota; Viridiplantae; Streptophyta; Magnoliopsida; Lamiales; Oleaceae.